This 252-nucleotide ribosomal RNA is filed under the name uncultured bacterium. Its description in RNAcentral is "partial 16S ribosomal RNA". It matches the Rfam family "Bacterial small subunit ribosomal RNA", at positions 524 to 776 of the family's 1533-position model. The record is from RNAcentral.
UACGGAGGAUGCGAGCGUUAUCUGGAUUUAUUGGGUUUAAAGGGUGCGUAGGCGGGAUGCCAAGUCAGCGGUAAAAAUGCGGUGCUCAACGCCGUCGAGCCGUUGAAACUGGCGUUCUUGAGUGGGCGAGAAGUAUGCGGAAUGCGUGGUGUAGCGGUGAAAUGCAUAGAUAUCACGCAGAACUCCGAUUGCGAAGGCAGCAUACCGGCGCCCUACUGACGCUGAGGCACGAAAGCGUGGGUAUCGAACAGG